UGGGGGCAUAUAUUGGGAAUUGUGGGGGGGAAGAACUGACGCCAGCCUGUCCGCGUGCAGGAAGAAGGCCCUCUGGGUUGUAAACUGUUUUUAUCUGGGAAGAAAAAGGCCAUGCGUGGCAAAUUGCCGGUGCCAGAUGAAUAAGCACCGGCUAACUCCGUGCCAGCAGCCGCGGUAAUACGGAGGGUGCAAGCGUUGUCCGGAUUUAUUGGGUUUAAAGGGUGCGUAGGCGGCUGAUUAAGUCAGCGGUGAAAGACUUCGGCUUAACCGGAGCAGUGCCGUUGAUACUGAUUGGCUUGAGUGUUGGAGGGGUACAUGGAAUUGAUGGUGUAGCGGUGAAAUGCAUAGAUACCAUCAGGAACACCGAUAGCGAAGGCAUUGUACUGGCCAACAACUGACGCUGAGGCACGAAAGUGUGGGGAUCGAACAGGAUUAGAUACCCUGGUAGUCCACACUGUAAACGAUGAUUACUCGCUGUUAUGGUGUAUGCUGUACCGGCCAAGCGAAAGCGUUAAGUAAUCCACCUGGGGAGUACGCCGGCAACGGUGAAACUCAAAGAUU
RNAcentral lists this ribosomal RNA (561 nucleotides) under uncultured bacterium. RNAcentral describes it as "bacterial SSU rRNA". It matches the Rfam family "Bacterial small subunit ribosomal RNA", at positions 343 to 909 of the family's 1533-position model. The record is from RNAcentral.